Molecule: long non-coding RNA, 4343 nt
Organism: Mustela lutreola (European mink)
Lineage: Eukaryota; Metazoa; Chordata; Mammalia; Carnivora; Mustelidae
Exons: 4
Source: RefSeq, a predicted model, not a curated record
GGGCCAAUAGCACUAAGGCUGGAGAAAGCCGUCUUCCUGGGAACCCCCAGAAGGCUGCCGCCGCGUCUUUAACGCCUCUGUCACCGCCGGUCCUGUGGAGCGCGCUUUUCGGGAAAAGUCCCAAUCAAGAUAGUGGAGAGAGACCCGCAGCCCUCCUCUCCAUCUGCCAGCUUUGGAUAUUUCUUCCUUCUCCACACAUCUAGCCUGUGUCCUGAGCCCCAGCAUCAGCUUCUGUUCUGGGUUGGAAUGUGGACCCAGGGCACUGGCUGCACGAGUAGGGAGGAGAGCAGGACUUGCACCAAGUUGCCUCAUUCCCCAAAGUGUGAAUACUCACUCACCAGCGCUGCCCGCACCUUCUGGCCCACCAGGCCAUCAGUGUUUGGAGUCUUGGACCUAAUACAUGAGAAGGUAAUGCCAGCUCAGCUUGGAGUACUUCGGGGAGAAUAAGACAUCCACCAAAAGGAGGGCUUUUCUGCCAGGACCUAACACACCAGUGCUCUGGACCACAGACCUCUGUUCAGAGAGACACUGGCCAAGGAUGGAAUCACCACUUCAGCUGUUGGCAGCUUACCUUCCAGACUGUCAAGUAUGCUUUUUGCUGUCUGCAUCUCUUGGAGUAGUGUUAUUGUCUACUUACCCAUCAGUAUCAACAAGGAGACUUAGAACCAAAAUUAGAGAUCUGGCUUGACUGUAUUUUAUUUUCUAUCAAGUAUAUGGGGGAACCUGUACUUCCAUGAUGUUGCCAAGGAGAGAGACUUACCAGGUGUUGUAAUGCCGUGUGCGUUGUACGCCCACCUUAAAAUACCACCAGAGACGCAAGUCAAAGCCAAACAGCAAGGGUCGAUUAUUAUGAGUUCGCACCCGGACCUCCACGCACUCGUUGCCGGUGACGCUGAGAGAUCCCAAGCAGAGUAAAUGCAGGGUUUUUAUAAGCAGGAUUGUUAUAGGAUUGUUAUUUUACUCUGAUGCUUUUGCAAAAGUGUUUUGUCUUCAGAAAGAUUCAUAGAAUGGACUUUGCUGGUAAUUUUAAGAUCAUAAAACUGAACCAGGUAAGAAUCACCAGAACUAAUGGUCAAACUGACCUGCUCAAACUGACUUGCUAAAUCCUGGACUAGAAAGCCAAUUAAAUCAGGAACUCAGUGCAAAGAAAAUGGAGCUCAGGGCAGAAAGGGGAUCUACCUAUGGCCCUUGGAAACCACGAGAAAGACUGCAAACUCAAAAGGUUUAUGGGAUACCGCACCUGUUUCUUGUUAUCUCUGAAGCCACCAGAAGCCUCCUUCAGUCCAACCACUGCCACCACAUCUGUUAAACAAUAAAAAUGCAACCAAAGACCCAUGCAGGAGAGGGGAUUCUGGUCCAAAGUCUCAUUCUAGCUGACUUCUGCCAGUUUCCCCAGGACCCUAUCUAUCUGCAGGCUCCGAAUAGGCUUUAAAGAAGAGGAUGCAACUCUGCUAUUUACCAGAAGUUGGCAAGGUAUUUCAUUAAUGUUAAUUUUAUUUUUCCUGGGCUCAGAAAAUCUCCGGGUCCUAUCAACUCUGAGAGGAACCCACACAGGGGCCCUCCUUUGGGGAUAGACGUGAGGAUGUCCAUUAAGCCACAAACAGGGUGGACUCCGGUUUACAGUCUCAUAGAGGCAAUUCAGACCAAGAAUUAGAAGAGCUGAGUAUUCAAAGAAAGGAAGGUGGAGGGGGGCAGGAGGAGGGAUGUCAGGCUUCCGGUCUUUUGUUUUAGGUACCUCUUAAGUCUUCAGUUUUCCUUAGCCUUUUGUAACAAACCUGCCAAUGAAUCUGCUCAGGAAUUUCGAAGCCCUUUGGAGGCUUCUGCAUGCCAAUUAAAGUAGUUAUCCCAUUCUGGUCUGUGGAUUUGGGAACCCUUGCUUUCAAGUGCAUCUCCUCAUUGAUCUUCUCUGAUUGGAACAUGCCUCAGAACAGCUGUUGUAAUCCUCCCUGAGGGCUGGCAGCAGCUUGCUGGGACCCUUAGCCACAAACUGAGUUCACCCCACAUUUCUGUGGGGUGCAACCUGCAUUUCUGUCCAGCCACAUUUUGGGGGAGGGUCCCCCACUCUGACAGUUACCAAGCCAAGUUCUUGGAACACAAAAUUCUAGGCUUUCUUUAAUCAAAUUGUGGCCAUUUCCACAGAUCUUUAGAGCUUCUGGGAGCAUAGUUUUUAAGCAGGUGUGGUGGAAGGGGGCAUCCGGAACUCUUUAGAAUUUUAAGGAUCCCAUUUAUUUCUCUGACUAAGCCUUUGAGUUUCUUUUUCUUUUUUUUUAAUUAAUUAAUUUAUUUAUUUAUUUGACAGAGAGAGAUCACAGUAGGAGAGAGGAAGGGAAGAGAUCACAGAGGAAGGGAAGCAGGCCCCCUGCUGAGCAGAGAGCCCGAUGUGGGACUCAAUCCCAGGACCCUGAGAUCAUGACCUGAGCCAAAGGCAGCGGCUUAACCACCUGAGCCACCCAGGCACCCCAGCCUUUGAGUUUCUUAAAGCCAAACUGACCCCUAAGAGGGACGUGCCAUGGGCUCAGAGGUUGCAUGGUAUUUUACAAUGUACCUCAUUGCAUGGAAAUUUUCUUGAGGUCAGUGGGUGACCUAGUAUUACUCUAACCGAUCACUGUUGCCUCCGUAGCCAGAAUUAGAGGACCCAGGAACCAAGGGGUAGAAAUAGAGGCACCACUCAGUAUUACCCCUAGAGCCCCACCAGCAAAAUGUUCGCUUCUGGUUCCCAUAACCUCAUGUUCUGCUGGCCCAGGGGCCUUGAGUUCCAGGGGGCAGAAUGCUUCCAUCUGGAGACACAGCAGUAAUUACCCUGAACUGGAGGUUCACAUGGCCACUUUGGACUCCUCCUGCCUCCGAAUCGACAGGUGAAGAAGGGAGUUACUGUGCUGGCCUAGGUGGCUGAUCUGGAGUACCACCGAGGGGAAAGUAGACAGCCACUCCACAGUGGACAUAGGGGACCUCUCCGGAUGUGUGUCAUAUCACCAACUCCUGUGAUUAAGGUAAAUGGAAGAGUACAACUGUCCAGUCCCGCCAGGACCAACGAUGGCUUACAGUAUUUAUGUUACAGGAUGUCAAGGAGAAGCAUAAACAUCACUCAAAAAACAUCCCCUCCUCCUCUGGGGAAGGGGUUAGUGAGGUUUUGGUUGUAUACAGGAUACUAGUAUCACAUGAAGUAUGACCUUCUUAUUGCCUUCAUAUAGAGCAUAUGAAGCAUAUAGAGUAUGGCUUAAGGAGAUGGUUAUGGGUGCCAAGUAGAUAAGGGGUGACCUGGUGAUGUUUAAUUGUAUAUGUCAACUUGACAAGGGCCCGGGGUGCCCAGACAUCUGACCAGAUGUAAUUCUGGGUGUGUCUGUGUAAGUGUUUCUGUAAGGACCUAUUUUAUAUUUUUAUUUUAGCCAGAGGCUUCCAUUGAGGUUAAACAAUAACUUUGUUGUUUAACCUUUAAACUGUCCCUGCUCCCCUUCCCCCAGGGGACUUAAAAACAAGUCCCAGAAACCAGCUCCAGGUGUGGAGGCCAAGAAAAACAAGGCUGUACCCACCUGAGUCUAGCCCUGACCUAGGUACAGCCAUCUUGGCAAAGCAAAAGCUGGCACCUUGCUCUGUAAGAGUGGGUUAGCAUAAGAAUGGCCAUCCUGAGGGCCUGGAAGCCAUUUUACUGAGUGUCCCUAACAGGCUGGCAGUUAGGUGGUGGCACCACAGGGACCAAAUGUUAAAGAAAAGCAAAUAGUUAACUUGCAGAGAUCACAAUCCUGCAAGACAGGAGUCUCCCUUGGUUUGCAGGGGCUUUACAACAAAAAGGAUUAUCUCUUCAGUGGCCCAAUUUCCAGAGACAAAUGGCUCAGUUCCUCAAGGCCUAAGGUCGCCCUCCCCACCAUAAAACUGAAGGAGGCUGAGGCAGAAGGAAAUAUAAAUAAAGUUAAAUUUCUUCUAAACCUAAAUCACACUUAACCGCCAGGAUGGCUCCAGGGUGACGCCGGGGUGGCAAAAUGUUAAACAAAGUUAAACUGUCAAAGUGGGGCCCAAGAUAUGUAUGUAGCUAUGAAAAAGUGCCUUGAAAAUGCUAUACAAACCCUUGGCUUGUGUGCUCGGGGUCCUUGUUGAAACUCGCUGUGCCGGGCAGAUACUUGGACCCCAGCUAGCUGGAAAUAAACCUCGCUGUGUGACUUGCAUUAUCGAGAGUGUUCUCUGUCUAAUUGAGGGGUGGUCAGCUCCGUUCCCUAGCAUUUCCAGGGGAGAUUCACAUUUGAGUUGGUAGGCUGAAUAAAGCAGAUUGCUAUCCUUAAUGUAAGCAGUCUUCAUCCAAUCAACAGAAGGCCUAGACAGGACAAAAAAGCCUACCCUCCCCUCUUUGA